This 392-nucleotide ribosomal RNA is filed under the name uncultured bacterium. Its description in RNAcentral is "bacterial SSU rRNA". It matches the Rfam family "Bacterial small subunit ribosomal RNA", at positions 28 to 420 of the family's 1533-position model. The record is from RNAcentral.
GACGAACGCUGGCGGCGUGCUUAACACAUGCAAGUCGAACGGUGACGAGGAGCUUGCUCCUCUGAUCAGUGGCGAACGGGUGAGUAACACGUGAGCAACCUGCCCCAGACUCUGGGAUAACAGUUGGAAACAGCUGCUAAUACCGGAUACGAGACGGAGAGGCAUCUCUACCGUCUGGAAAGUUUUUCGGUCUGGGAUGGACUCGCGGCCUAUCAACUAGUUGGUGAGGUAAUGGCUCACCAAGGCGACGACGGGUAGCCGGCCUGAGAGGGCGACCGGCCACACUGGGACUGAGACACGGCCCAGACUCCUACGGGAGGCAGCAGUGGGGAAUAUUGCACAAUGGGCGAAAGCCUGACGCAGCGACGCCGCGUGAGGGAUGACGGCCUCGG